This 804-nucleotide long non-coding RNA is filed under the name Malus domestica (apple). Its description in RNAcentral is "long non-coding RNA (MDOM_LNC011038)". The record is from RNAcentral. Lineage: Eukaryota; Viridiplantae; Streptophyta; Magnoliopsida; Rosales; Rosaceae.
AAGUUGCUUGAACAUUUCUGGAGGGACCACAGAUGUUAUGCAGAAGGCAACAGAGUUGGGUUCAAAUGAGCAGAGUAAUUCAGUUAACAAGGAGUUCAGUAGUACGAAUGCUGCUACCUCCAACACAAAGAACAGAAAAGCUGGAAAAGAGAAAAAAGAUCAGCAAGAUUGGGACAAAUUAAGGAAACAAGCAGAAUUAAAUGGAAAGAAAAGGGAAAAGACAGAAAAUACAAUGGAUUCCUUGGACUGGGAAGCCGUAAGAUGUGCAGAUGUUAAUGAGAUCGCCCAAACCAUCAAAGAGCGGGGGAUGAAUAAUAUGCUUGCAGAACGAAUCAAGGUAAAAAUAACAUUAAAUAUAAUUCUCAAAUUUGUCAGUGUGCCCGCUAGACACAGAAAACCUUUUUAGAUCAGCUGAUGUUUAUUGAGAAAUUUGUGCAGGAUUUCCUUAACAGACUGGUCAGAGAGCACGGUAGUGUUGAUCUUGAAUGGUUGAGGGACGUUCCACCUGACCAAGCAAAGUAAGCUUGCUGAACUAUCCAACCCAUUUCUAAUUAUAAAAAAUAAAUUCCCAAAAACCAAUCGCUUGCCUCGCAUGUCAUAUCAAAAUGCUACAGCUGUGUUCUACAGUAUAUGAAUAUGAUGUGCUGAAUAUGAAUAUUCUUACGUGGUUUGCAUUCCAUAACUAUGUGAUAUGUCACAGAGAGUAUCUGCUGAGCUUUCGCGGAUUGGGGUUGAAAAGCGUGGAAUGUGUGCGGCUUUUGACACUGCACCAUCUUGCUUUUCCAGUAAGUAUAUAUUAAAAAU